Molecule: long non-coding RNA, 760 nt
Organism: Strongylocentrotus purpuratus (purple sea urchin)
Lineage: Eukaryota; Metazoa; Echinodermata; Echinoidea; Camarodonta; Strongylocentrotidae
Exons: 2
Source: RefSeq, a predicted model, not a curated record
GUCUAAUGAAAUUAUAUGGUAGUGGAUGCACCAGAAGCUGGCUUUUACAACUCAUAGGUGCUGCAGGUAAGAAUAGCACAUGUAUGCUAUCAAGCUCUCCAUGUGAGGUUUUUUUAUAUUCUAUUUAAAUGUCAUAUAUGAUGAUAAAGGAUUACAGCAUGCACUGUACAUGUUAUGGAGCCAGCUCGGGAAUUCUGAUCUCCUAAAAACUAAAUCAUAACUUUUAAGGAAGGAUAGCCUUUUUGAGUAUUUCACACUCUCACCCACUUAAAGAUUUUUAUCACUUUUACACCCAUGCAUUUUUGUUGAGUUUGCUUUAAAUUAAUCUUUUGAAUUGUGGAAAAGGUCACACAAACGUUUAGGGUUUUAAUUUCUUAUAUCUGGUGGUGUUAAUAAGAUGUUUUAAUCAAUACGAAAUACAUUCAAGAUUUAUAUUUUUGUAUCCAUCUUUCACAAACAUGUAGGCUACAUUAAUGUACGUCAAAAUUCUUGAAUAUAUGACAGCAACAUAUACAUGUUCUAAUCUGUGAUAAAAGGAUAUAAAAAAGACAAUAUGUCCAGCAUUAUCUUUGAAUUCCUUCAAAAUUCUAUGAUAUUACUAUCAAAUAAUUCAAACAAGCUAUGAAGAAAAGACUUCAUAUUUUUAAUGUGUCUUUGUUCACAAACACUUGGAACAUAAGAAAUGUUCUUUGACAAAAUAUGAUGUGCCAAGUGUGCCCCUGUGUUUCAAACAAGUUUAAAUAAAAGUUUUCAAGUUCAA